AUUUUCAUAUCUGAUCACAGCGGAAAGACCUCAGCAGCUUUCGUCAGUUGGCCCUCCAGCAUCCACGUUCCAUUUAUACCAACCAGCCGGAGGACAAUCCCAUUGAAUUCUUGACACCAGGGCUGCCAUGGUCUGUACUUCCUCAUUUAGAUCCACAUAAUGAGCUGAGAUAUGAAUUGGUAGCUGUUUGCGCUCGAUGCACUAUUACCAAAGCCUCCCGCAUCUCCUGAG
RNAcentral lists this long non-coding RNA (231 nucleotides) under Cicer arietinum (chickpea). RNAcentral describes it as "long non-coding RNA (CARI_LNC003519)". Lineage: Eukaryota; Viridiplantae; Streptophyta; Magnoliopsida; Fabales; Fabaceae. The record is from RNAcentral.